Long non-coding RNA from Antechinus flavipes (yellow-footed antechinus), 454 nucleotides. RefSeq lists it as uncharacterized. The record is from RefSeq and is a predicted model, not a curated record. Lineage: Eukaryota; Metazoa; Chordata; Mammalia; Dasyuromorphia; Dasyuridae. The transcript has 3 exons.
AACAAGUCCAAAAAAGAAAAAUCCUGUGACCUGAGGCCUCCAGAAGCUGCCACCACCACUACUACUCACCCCCACUCUUGGUUCCUUGGCCCAUUCCUGGUUUGCUACCAUGAAACAGAUGCUGGGAUUGGAGUCAGAGCCAGGCUGUUUUGGUGUGACCUUCACCAGGACUGCAUGCUGGACUUCCACCUGAUGCCGCAGAGCUUUCCUGCUGAUCUUCUGAGUUGUCUUUGGCUGGAAGCAUGAUUUAUCAGCUGAUAACUUCUCCGGAAAGAAAAGUCUGGGUGACAAGAGCAAAGGGAGCUACAGGUGGGAAGGCAACAAACAUUUUAAAGAAUGUACUAUAUGCUGUGAACUGUGCCAAGUACAUUCCUGAUAUUAUUUAAUUUUAUUCUUACAAUACCCUGAAAAGUAAAUACCAUUAGUCUCCUUAUUUUUUUAGUUAAGGAAACUG